This 253-nucleotide ribosomal RNA is filed under the name uncultured bacterium. RNAcentral describes it as "partial 16S ribosomal RNA". It matches the Rfam family "Bacterial small subunit ribosomal RNA", at positions 524 to 776 of the family's 1533-position model. The record is from RNAcentral.
UACGUAGGGUCCGAGCGUUGUCCGGAAUUAUUGGGCGUAAAGGGCUCGUAGGCGGUUCGUCACGUCGGGAGUGAAAACUCGGAGCUUAACUCCGAGCCUGCUUCCGAUACGGGCAGACUAGAGGUAGGCAGGGGAGAGCGGAACUCCUGGUGUAGCGGUGGAAUGCGCAGAUAUCAGGAAGAACACCGGUGGCGAAGGCGGCAUCCUGGACCGACACUGACGCUGAGGAGCGAAAGCCAGGGGAGCAAACGGG